RNAcentral lists this unclassified non-coding RNA (320 nucleotides) under uncultured fungus. RNAcentral describes it as "partial contains small subunit ribosomal RNA, internal transcribed spacer 1, and 5.8S ribosomal RNA". The stretch from base 1 to 73 matches the Rfam family "Eukaryotic small subunit ribosomal RNA", at positions 1759 to 1831 of the family's 1831-position model. The record is from RNAcentral. Lineage: Eukaryota; Fungi.
GCAAACUUGGUCAUUUAGAGGAAGUAAAAGUCGUAACAAGGUUUCCGUAGGUGAACCUGCGGAAGGAUCAUUAUUGAAACUCAAAGGGGCUGCGGUGGUGGUCCUGCGCACCGGUGGCAACGCCGUUGUUGCGCGCCCCCCGCGCCUCAUCCACACUCAAACCCUUGUGCACCUUUGGGGGAAGGCGGGUUCGCGCCCGUCGGCCCCUUCAUUCACAGACUCUGUCUAUUAGAAUGUAACACGCGGCGAAAGCCGUUUGGAACUAUAAAACAACUUUCAACAACGGAUCUCUUGGCUCUCGCAUCGAUGAAGAACGCAGC